UUUGACUGGGGCGGUCUCCUCCUAAAGAGUAACGGAGGAGCACGAAGGUUGGCUAAUCCUGGUCGGACAUCAGGAGGUUAGUGCAAUGGCAUAAGCCAGCUUGACUGCGAGCGUGACGGCGCGAGCAGGUGCGAAAGCAGGUCAUAGUGAUCCGGUGGUUCUGAAUGGAAGGGCCAUCGCUCAACGGAUAAAAGGUACUCCGGGGAUAACAGGCUGAUACCGCCCAAGAGUUCAUAUCGACGGCGGUGUUUGGCACCUCGAUGUCGGCUCAUCACAUCCUGGGGCUGAAGUAGGUCCCAAGGGUAUGGCUGUUCGCCAUUUAAAGUGGUACGCGAGCUGGGUUUAGAACGUCGUGAGACAGUUCGGUCCCUAUCUGCCGUGGGCGCUGGAGAACUGAGGGGGGCUGCUCCUAGUACGAGAGGACCGGAGUGGACGCAUCACUGGUGUUCGGGUUGUCAUGCCAAUGGCACUGCCCGGUAGCUAAAUGCGGAAGAGAUAAGUGCUGAAAGCAUCUAAGCACGAAACUUGCCCCGAGAUGAGUUCUCCCUGACUCCUUGAGAGUCCUGAAGGAACGUUGAAGACGACGACGUUGAUAGGCCGGGUGUGUAAGCGCAGCGAUGCGUUG
RNAcentral lists this ribosomal RNA (625 nucleotides) under Escherichia coli. RNAcentral's name for it is "partial 23S ribosomal RNA". It matches the Rfam family "Bacterial large subunit ribosomal RNA", at positions 2269 to 2888 of the family's 2925-position model. Lineage: Bacteria; Pseudomonadati; Pseudomonadota; Gammaproteobacteria; Enterobacterales; Enterobacteriaceae. The record is from RNAcentral.